UUUACAUUCGGUUGAAUUUGGGGGCUGCAAAUCCAACAGCUAUUUUUUCAUAUCCUGAAUUUUCCUUCGUAACUAGAGACAACAAUUUUCCGAGGAGGCGUUUCGUAACCUGAAUUUUUCGUGACUAUCGACGUUCGUAAGGAGUAUAGCUAAACGUCAGGUUUAUCUGCAUGCGCCCGGUUUUACUACAGCCACCUGGGUUUCUCUUGGACUGUGACUGCCAUGGCAAAUGUGAUCAUCUGAAGAGGUUGCAAGGCAUCUUGACAGCGAACAGCAGCGAACAGCAGCGUGAUGGAAGAUUCCAGUAAAGGCUCGACAGGCAGGCGAGGCUCGGUGUGGGCUUGAUGCGGUAAACUUCUUAAGAUGAUGCCAAGAAAGUUCUGGGUGGCAAAGAAGUUGUAACAGCUGGUAACGGCUCGCUGCUACACGUCCUGAAGAACUCUUUCACCUGUGGAAUUUGGAAGUCCUUGGAUUCUCCUGGUCUCUCAUUUGAGGAUGCAAUAAUUGCCUCUCCAGAGUUGCUAUUUGGAGGUGCACGCCGCGCCAACAACACGCGACUUUGAAGAUGCCAGAUCAGGAAGUCAAGAGAAGUGGGCGGAAUUUUGAUGAAAGAAAAGCCGUGGACCAGUGAAAAGGGUGAGAACUCCAACUGAAAUAACAUGGGGCACAAACAUUGUUUUGAGAGGUGGUUCGGAGGCACCGUUUUUUCAGUCAGGCGUGAACAUCCCGAGAAAAUGGAUGCAAUUGCCAAGUCGUCAUCCACCCUGCGCGUGAAGCCACGUGAAAGGCUCUUAAACCUGCUGACCCCGUGCCGGCCAAAUACUGUGGAAUCCCCCCUUUUACGUCUAUCCAAAUAACAAUAAUCCUUCAUCAUGUGUGUCCUUUUCUGUUGCUGGAAAGGUUCCAGGGAAAAUGAAGUAAAGGUGUCGACCACUUCUUUCACACAUGGAGGCACUUAUGUCCAUUCACACACUCUGUGCAAAUCUCUCUGCGGCACAUAGCAAAGAACACUGCUUUUGUAGGCCCAAGUUUUUCUUAAAAUUCACUUUUA
Syngnathoides biaculeatus (alligator pipefish) is the source of this 1051-nucleotide long non-coding RNA. RefSeq lists it as uncharacterized. The transcript has 4 exons. Lineage: Eukaryota; Metazoa; Chordata; Actinopteri; Syngnathiformes; Syngnathidae. The record is from RefSeq and is a predicted model, not a curated record.